AGUGAACGCUGGCGGUAGGCCUAACACAUGCAAGUCGAACGGCAGCACAGUAAGAGCUUGCUCUUACGGGUGGCGAGUGGCGGACGGGUGAGGAAUACAUCGGAAUCUACUUUUUCGUGGGGGAUAACGUAGGGAAUCUUACGCUAAUACCGCAUACGACCUACGGGUGAAAGCAGGGGAUCUUCGGACCUUGCGCGAUUGAAUGAGCCGAUGUCGGAUUAGCUAGUUGGCGGGGUAAAGGCCCACCAAGACGACGAUCCGUAGCUGGUCUGAGAGGAUGAUCAGCCACACUGGAACUGAGACACGGUCCAGACUCCUACGGGAGGCAGCAGUGGGGAAUAUUGGACAAUGGGCGCAAGCCUGAUCCAGCCAUACCGCGUGGGUGAAGAAGGCCUUCGGGUUGUAAAGCCCUUUUGUUGGGAAAGAAAAGCAGCAGGUUAAUACCCCGCUGUUCUGACGGUACCCAAAGAAUAAGCACCGGCUAACUUCGUG
This 492-nucleotide ribosomal RNA is filed under the name uncultured bacterium. Its description in RNAcentral is "partial 16S ribosomal RNA". It matches the Rfam family "Bacterial small subunit ribosomal RNA", at positions 29 to 507 of the family's 1533-position model. The record is from RNAcentral.